CAGCCGCCGCGGGAAUACGUAGGUGGCAAGCGUUGUCCGGAAUUAUUGGGCGUAAAGGGCUCGCAGGCGGUUUCUUAAGUCUGAUGUGAAAGCCCCCGGCUCAACCGGGGAGGGUCAUUGGAAACUGGGAAACUUGAGUGCAGAAGAGGAGAGUGGAAUUCCACGUGUAGCGGUGAAGUGCGUAGAGAUGUGGAGGAACACCAGUGGCGAAGGCGACUCUCUGGUCUGUAACUGACGCUGAGGAGCGAAAGCGUGGAGAGCGAACAGGAUUAGAUACCCGCGUAGUCCCUGUCUCUUAUAC
Molecule: ribosomal RNA, 301 nt
Filed under: uncultured bacterium
Lineage: Bacteria
Description: partial 16S ribosomal RNA
Rfam family: Bacterial small subunit ribosomal RNA
Source: RNAcentral